Molecule: long non-coding RNA, 1899 nt
Filed under: Apteryx haastii (Great spotted kiwi)
Lineage: Eukaryota; Metazoa; Chordata; Aves; Apterygiformes; Apterygidae
Description: lncRNA (ENSAHAG00000008851.1)
Source: RNAcentral
NNNNNNNNNNNNNNNNNNNNNNNNNNNNNNNNNNNNNNNNNNNNNNNNNNNNNNNNNNNNNNNNNNUGGAGCGGUUAGCACAUCUGUGGGGCGUAAGAUCGGGCAGCCCAAAUACCAUCGGCUGCACCAGCCCCUAAUUCCGGCACUUCCAUCUGAUGCAGAUGUUGCUUCCGUUCUCCUAUGACGCGCACCUGACUUGACUCGGGCAGACGGGCCACCUACCAAUCCCAACCCGGAAAAGGUGGCCUGCGUACUGCAGUGUUCAUAAAUAGGCAGGGCCAUAGUUACUAACUGGGCUUAGCUGCAGAGGUCACACCUCCUCGUGGUCCCGCUGGAUGCCCAUUCGUGGGUAACCGAGUUGGCCUCUGCCCCAGUGUGUUAUUUGGUGCUAUAGUUACUUCCUCCCUAUUGACUGGCUUCACCGACCACUCAAUAGUAAUUUCAGGUGACUCCAAAUUUAUUUGACCGCGGACUAGUAAAGUAGCCGUGGGUCCAAAGCCCUUGGCCUGAGGGCUAACAUAAGGCAUAUCAGGUGAACUUGGGGGCUGGUUCAUCUGGCUAUAGCCAGAACCCCCACAGUCAUGUUGAACAACCUGAUAAAAUCUUGGGUUGUCAGCUUUGUCUCAGUGGCCACCCAGAUGGGAGAAACUCUCCCAGAAAUCGCAAGGGUUCGCCCUGUGAGAGUAACAUCUGAGGGGGUGGUCCACCUGUCCCAAAAUUUGACUUUUUAUAAUUCGGACGUGGCCAGUUGGGAAGGGACUUGUCCCGACCCGACCUGGGAUUGCAUUAAAUAUCUGCUGGUGGUUUAUGAGGUCUUCGAACCCGUUGGAUCACCUCCGAUGACUGGGGCUGAAGAAGCACUGCAGGAGGAUGUGGUAGACGUGGAAAUAAGAUCUCCCUCCAGCCCCGCAAUUUUACCAACUGAUGCAGUAAGUCCCAUUCUUGGUGCCAUGGGGGGAACGACUGAUGUGGGAACACCAGUCGUGAAGAUCCCUGAUCAACAUCCAGCAUGUCCUUGCUGUGGCACCAGGAUGGGGAAAGUUGCGGCUCUAGUUGACCAUCUUAGGAGGGCCCAUGGCCGGCGACGAAUCCUCUUUCAGUGCUCCCAUUGUGGGAGGACAAAUAUCAAACACCACAGUAUUGCCUGCCACUUUCCGAAGUGCCAGGGAGCCCUUGUUAUCCACAGUCAAGAGGAAGCCCCAGAGGAACCUGGGAUAUGGCGUUGUGGGGAAUGCGACCGGCAGUUCAAAACUAAGAGCGGCAUGUCACAGCAGAAGAGACUUAUGCACCCUCAAGCUAGGAAUCUGGAGAGGAUUGAAGCAACUCGACCGAAGGAAAAGAGCCUGCGAGGAAUGCACAAGAGCUGCUGGACAGAGAAAGAGAUGGCUCUACUGCUAGAGUUGGAAGAAAGGUUUAAGAACGAGCGCUUCAUUAACAAACUGAUCAGGGAGCAUUUGCCCACGAAAACGGCGAAGCAGAUCAGUGACAAAAGACGGCAGCUUGCGGCUGGUGCCAAGACAGCGGCACCGCCAAGAAGAGCAGUGUUAGAGCGCGGUGGGGAGCCCCCGGUGGAGAAGGAAAGGAAGGAGAUGAUAAGAAUGGAAUAUAGGAAGAUUAUGGCAGAGGAGAUACGAGCAGGUUCCCUGCCUGCAAGCCAAAUGAUCGCAUGCAGGAGGAUCUUGGAGGAUGGCAAGAACGCCCGGAGAGUCAUCAAAGCGUCGGCAGUAGAGUGGCUGUCACAGCUGGCGGGGCACAUCGCCAUAGCAAAAUUGAAACAACGUAGGAAGCGUCAAGCAGGACCUGUGCCUGUGAGAGACGAAAGAAGAUGGAUGAAGAACAGGGCGGUGAGAAGGCGGUUGCUCCUCCGAUACCAGCGGCUCUUUGAGAUAGAUCGCAAGA